GGGGGCAAGCGUUCGACCGGAAUCGGAAAUUAAGCGCCGUCGCAUAGUAACGGUCGAACCAGAACAUGUUAUAUCGAAGGGUUUGGGUCGAACGCCACAUAAGACACGAAAAGAAGAGGGCACGGAAGAAGACGGGACAACGAGAAGAGAAACCCACAACUAAACGAAUCCUCAGAUGUAAAUAUUCGAUGUGCCGUGGCGCUCUGUGGCCUUCCUUUCCACUGCCACGAGGAUGAUGCCACUUUUACAAAUACAUGGGAUGUCUCUCAAUCAGAGUUCAAGAGGAGAACAACCCAGCCCGAUUUGUCGCUGAUUGGAUUUCGCCCUGCAGGCUGGAAACCUGCACAUUUAUCUCUCCUGCGUCCGUUCCACGUUUGCUGGAACCAAUCACAACCUGGCUUAUCCAUCAGACGCACCAGGACCGUGGUCUGAUUGGUUGAAGAACUAUCCAAGCGUACAGUCAUUUGAAUUAUGACCAUUGAUCACGCCUCUUGUGCAGUAGAAAUACAGCACAGCCUCCCCAGACUAAUGUUCAAUCUCAAAAGAUUGAGCGUGGGCUGAUGAUAACCAGGCUAUGAACUCCAAUGUUUUUACAAAACUGUAUUAGCAUAGUAAUUAAUUGUUCCAAGAACAUAUUCCAUGAUUUGAUGAUGGUUGAAGUUAUUGUCCAUGGUUGAACUUUUUUAUUAUUAUUUGAAUUUUUUAUUUUAAUUUUAAUUUUAUAUAUUUGAAUGUAAUAGUAUCUCCUACGAUCUCUUUUCUCAAACGAG
Long non-coding RNA from Sardina pilchardus (European sardine), 770 nucleotides. RefSeq lists it as uncharacterized. The record is from RefSeq and is a predicted model, not a curated record. The transcript has 3 exons. Lineage: Eukaryota; Metazoa; Chordata; Actinopteri; Clupeiformes; Clupeidae.